Molecule: long non-coding RNA, 1029 nt
Organism: Populus nigra (black poplar)
Lineage: Eukaryota; Viridiplantae; Streptophyta; Magnoliopsida; Malpighiales; Salicaceae
Exons: 2
Source: RefSeq, a predicted model, not a curated record
UUUUUAAUCAUCAUUUAACUUUAUUUUAACAAUAGCUCACAUGAUUAGUUUUAGCCAAAUAUCAAUCGUUUUGUUCGCAUAAUGCAACAAUUUCAUCAUACUAGCUAAAUUACAAAAUAUUAUUAUUUAAGGAAUCGAUGCAAUCAAUUUAUAAAUUGUUGAAAGUAAUUAAAUUAAAGUGUAAGAUUGAAUGAGAAAAAAUGGGAUUGCAUUAUAUAUUUAUAUAAAAGUAGGUAAAAAAAAAAUAUACCCGUUUGAGCCAUUUUUAGAAAUAACCUUGUUUUUGUGCAUGAACAUCUCAUGUAUAACGCCGGUACGUUGCCGCCGGUGUUACAGGUUGGCAUGGCUAUCGGUAGGGAUUAUAUAGUGUGUUAAGAUUACCAAGGACCAGGAUGCUGAUCCUCAAUAAUGGUGCCAUUGUUGUUAUCCUUUCAUGCUCUUUGGUUGUCUGGCUUUUUUUUUCUUUCUUUUUUUUUUUUUUUUUUUGCUUGGAACAGACUGAUGCAGGGGACUCUGCUUCAUCUGCAGUUCAUGGAAUGAAUGAAUAUGGAUUUGGAUUAGAGAGCAGACAAUUCAUGCUAGGUCUUCUAUGCGAUCCACUAGUCAUAGAUUCCAUAGCUAACUAUUUGAAGCUGUCAGAUUCUCAGACCAUUUGAGGUUGCUAUGGACAACAACGUACCUCAAAUGUUAUCAGCUCCACUUGAUCCCCAGAUAUGGCUACAGUCACAUGCUAGUUGCCAGCAAUACUUAUGAUCAGGCCUACAGCCAUCAUCAACUGAGCUAUGCUCAAAAACAUCUCUGGUCUUGCCGCCACAGCAACUUACGGGCAAACUACCUUGCCAUCUCAACCAGAUGCCGCAACCAGCUAUAGCCGUAGCUAGAAUAAGAAUGUAUAUCUAAUAUUUGUUGAGUAAGUCUGAACAAGUGGAUCUGUGGCGCAAUGGUAGCGCGUCUGACUCCAGAUCAGAAGGUUGCGUGUUCGAUUCACGUCAGGUUCAUUUCCCACAGAAAUUUAAUUUUUUGGCUGAA